This 202-nucleotide ribosomal RNA is filed under the name uncultured bacterium. RNAcentral's name for it is "partial 16S ribosomal RNA". It matches the Rfam family "Bacterial small subunit ribosomal RNA", at positions 1294 to 1500 of the family's 1533-position model. The record is from RNAcentral.
CGGAUUGGAGUCUGNAACCCGACUCCAUGAAGCUGGAUUCGCUAGUAAUCGCGCAUCAGCCACGGCGCGGUGAAUACGUUCCCGGGCCUUGUACACACCGCCCGUCAAGCCAUGGAAGCCGGGGGGUGCCUGAAGUGCGCUGCCGCAAGGAGCGUCCUAGGGUAAAAACCGGUGACUGGGGGCUAAGUCGUAACAAGGUACC